Callithrix jacchus (white-tufted-ear marmoset) is the source of this 94-nucleotide microRNA precursor. The record is from Ensembl. Lineage: Eukaryota; Metazoa; Chordata; Mammalia; Primates; Cebidae.
GUGCUGUGUGUAGUGCUUCACUUCAAUAAGUGCCAUACAUGUGUCUAAAAAUUUGUUUGGCACUUCUUUGAGUGAAAUAAUGCACAACAGGUAC